Molecule: long non-coding RNA, 1419 nt
Organism: Morus notabilis
Lineage: Eukaryota; Viridiplantae; Streptophyta; Magnoliopsida; Rosales; Moraceae
Exons: 5
Source: RefSeq, a predicted model, not a curated record
UUAGCUUGUCCGAUAUCAAUUAAAAGAAUUUAAAUAUAUGUAGUACUUUAAAGCAAAGAAGACGUCUUUAUCUAAGAAUCAGACAUUUAAAUGCUUGCGGUAAAACUCAAUCUCUGCUGACCAUUUUUACAGCCUUCUUUAUCUAAGAAUCAGACAUUUUAAUGCUUGUGGUAAAAUUCAAUCUCUGCUGACCAUUUUUAGAGCAUUCUUUGGGACAUGUUAUGCCGUGGCGGUCCUUGAGAAAAGGAAGUAUUUCUCUUAGUGCCCUGGCUCCAUUUGGUGGUUUUGCUUUCAUGACUCUGAAUUAUUAGAGAUAACACAUCACUACCUCAAAUAUUAAGAUUGUGUUCUUUUGUAGCAAAAAGCAAAGGAGCUUGAUAAUUCUAGUGGACUAAUUGAGCUCUGUCAUGAUAUGUGCCAUCACAAGACUAAGGGUUGAACUGGACAGUACCAGAGGAGAAUUAUGCAAGUUUUUAUUUAUUUGUUUUUUUGUGUUUCUUUAUAAUUCAGUAUUCAUUAGUUUUUCUUUUCACUUGUUCAUUUUCAAUUGACAGCACAAGAUGAUAUAUUUGCAAACUCAAACUGGUCAUUCAAGUGAUGUAGCUGAGGGAAAUACCUCUACACCGCCCACAUUAAUGGCAGAGAAAGAUAUAAUGAAUAAUGUCCUUAGCACAUGAUCGGGAUAAGAAGGAGAUAAAAAAAAGGUUAUUUCUCUACUCAAAGUCAGGAACAAAUACGCAAGACCUUCAAGACUCUGCAGAUGCAGAUCGAUAACCUUACGAACUUGGAUGCACGUUGACAAAUGGAAUUUGAUAGUCUUAAGAACUUUGUGAAGUCUAUUCCCACAGUAUCAACCUCUUUUUGGUGACUCAUGUCCUUUGGAAUAGUGCCUUUAUCUAUCUUUUACUCUUAUUUUAGAACUUUCAGGUUUCUAAUACUUGAUUUUAGAGGAUGUUUAUUUAUCCUUAUGGAUGCUUUUGUCAUGAUUUUAGAGGAACUAAUAUUAUGUUCGACAUUUUAGAUAUCUUCUAUCUUUGUUUGCCCUAUCUUAAAUGCCUCUCAUGCUCUUCUUUUGGCCUUAGCUCCUUCUACAACACAUGAGGGUCCAUUCAACCAUGAUAAAAAAAAAAAGAAUAGAAAUUGACAUGAGGAGAAGAUGGCAAUAAUCACUCACACUCAUCACCCAUCUUCUGUUUUAUUGGUUUUCGGUUCAGACUGAACCCAAACAAUAUAGAUUCUCUGUCACACUCAAUCCCGCCAAAUAACAUGGGUUAUGUAUGGAUGCUGAAAGUGGACAACUAUAGUUUUGAUGUUAUUAAUUGUUUAAUUUUAAUUUAGGAUUUCCAUGUAGUCUUGCUUUGUUCUUCUGAUUUUUGAAAUGGUGAGGUAUUGUAACUACAAUUACAGAACACAAUCUUC